GCUUGGCCCUAAACACAAAUAGUACUAAUACAAUACUACUCGCCAGAGAACUACAAGCGAAAAGCUUAAAACUCAAAAGACUUGGCGGUGCUUCAAAUCAACCUAGAGGAGCCUGUCCUAUAAUCGAUACCCCACGUUUUACCUUACCGCCCUUAGACAAUCAGCCUAUAUACCGCCGUCGUAAGCCUACCUUAUGAAAGAAAAAAAGUAGGCAAAAGAGCCAAUAACAAAUACGUCAGGUCAAGGUGUAGCACACGGGGCGGCAGAGAUGGGCUACAUUUUCCACAAAAAACACACGAAUAACAUGUUGAAAUAACCUGUUUGAAGGCGGAUUUAGUAGUAAAAUGGGCAAGAAAGCCCAUCUAAAACCUGCUCUGAAGCGCGCACACACCG
Molecule: ribosomal RNA, 393 nt
Filed under: Sphenomorphus indicus
Lineage: Eukaryota; Metazoa; Chordata; Lepidosauria; Squamata; Scincidae
Description: partial small subunit ribosomal RNA
Rfam family: Bacterial small subunit ribosomal RNA
Source: RNAcentral